RNAcentral lists this ribosomal RNA (253 nucleotides) under uncultured bacterium. RNAcentral's name for it is "partial 16S ribosomal RNA". It matches the Rfam family "Bacterial small subunit ribosomal RNA", at positions 524 to 776 of the family's 1533-position model. The record is from RNAcentral.
UACGGGGGGGGCAAGCGUUGUUCGGAAUUACUGGGCGUAAAGGGCGCGUAGGCGGUCUGCUAAGUUGAAUGUGAAAACUCUGGGCUUAACCCAGAGCCUGCAUUCAAUACUGGCAGGCUAGAGUUCUGGAGGGGAUAGCGGAAUUCCUGGUGUAGCGGUGAAAUGCGUAGAUAUCAGGAGGAACACCGGUGGCGAAGGCGGCUAUCUGGACAGAGUCUGACGCUGAGGCGCGAAAGCUAGGGGAGCAAACAGG